Molecule: long non-coding RNA, 752 nt
Organism: Erinaceus europaeus (western European hedgehog)
Lineage: Eukaryota; Metazoa; Chordata; Mammalia; Eulipotyphla; Erinaceidae
Exons: 2
Source: RefSeq, a predicted model, not a curated record
AGGAGAUUUGCUGCAAAGGAGAAAAGUACUGAAGGGAAGGAUGGACCAUGGAUGUCCUAAAGAAAUCAUCAGACAAAUUUACAAACCACCAGGUUCCAAACACUACCAUGAUGCCAACUGGACUUUCUUGGGCAGACAACUCCAUGAAUGUGUCCUGGAGCCCCACUUCCCCAGAGCUCUGCCCCACUAGGAAAAAAGAGAGACAGGCUGGAAGUAUGGAUCAACCUGUCAAUGCCCAUAUUCAGCGGGGAAGCAAUUACAGAAGCUAGAGCUUCCAUCUUCUGCACCCCAUAAUGACCCUGGGUCCAUACUCCUAGAGGGAUAAAGAAUAGGAAAGCUAUCAGGGGAGGGGAUGGGAUAUGGAGUUCUGAUGGUGGGAACUAUGUGGAAUUGUACUCCUCCUAUCCUAUGGUCUUGUCAGUGUUUCCAUUUUAUAAAUAAAAAUAAAAAUAAAAAAAAACAUGUAGUAGUGUUUGGUAAAAAAUCAGAAUCCUGAAAUCCUGCCAUGCCUUUCUUUUUUCAUAAUUAAAAAUUUAUUGAGGGUGUUAAAUGCUUUAUAAUUAAUUCAUUGAUAUCUGCAUACAGUUUCAUUAUGUACCAGGCUCCUAAAUUUUUCUCCUUCCCCUCCCUCCCCAGAGUCCUUUGCUUUGGUGCAAUACACCAUGUUCAGUCCAAGUUUCACUUUGUGCUAUCUCUCCCUGCCCCAACUUUAUUAAGUCCUGCUAAUAAAUGAGAUCAUUUGCUAUUCAUUA